Molecule: ribosomal RNA, 253 nt
Filed under: uncultured bacterium
Lineage: Bacteria
Description: partial 16S ribosomal RNA
Rfam family: Bacterial small subunit ribosomal RNA
Source: RNAcentral
UACGUAGGGUGCAAGCGUUAAUCGGAAUUACUGGGCGUAAAGGGUGCGCAGGCGGUGAUGUAAGACAGAUGUGAAAUCCCCGGGCUCAACCUGGGAACUGCAUUUGUGACUGCAUGGCUAGAGUACGGUAGAGGGGGAUGGAAUUCCGCGUGUAGCAGUGAAAUGCGUAGAUAUGCGGAGGAACACCGAUGGCGAAGGCAAUCCCCUGGACCUGUACUGACGCUCAUGCACGAAAGCGUGGGGAGCAAACAGG